CCGGUCUAGCUUCGAAUGAUAUUUUAGCUUCCAGCUGCUCUUCACUCAAUUAUCUCGGAGAAACCCUCACUUUGAGUGGCUGAGGUGAAAAGCCACAGGAGAGGGAUGUUUCCUUAGGAAGAAACAGAAGGGCAGCCCUUUUGCAACCAGGCCAGUGUGUAGGGUAGAGUGGAAAGGCCCCUCUGUAAGCUCCGUCGCUGGCGGGUGUGCGCAGGUGCCCUGGAGGAAUGUGUGGGGCGCGCUCGCUCUUCUAGGUGGGUGGGAUUUUGCCCCUCUUGAAUUCUUCCAAGCCGACCAGACCCCCAGACCCUCGCUCCUCUGUGGAAGGGCGAGGUGUGCGCCGCUGGCCUAGUGCCUGGUGCCGCGUCACCAGGGUGUCGCCCUGUAGCAGAAGGAAACAGGGAGGGGGGACAGUGGCCGCGCCAGAAAAGGGAGGCAGUCACAGGGACGUGCCCUGUAAAACCUAGACCGAGGUCUCCUGAGGCCGGCCGUACCUUGUGCCGAGUCCCCAGGCCAGAAAUAAACCUAUCAGGUUCUGUCCGUGGGGGGUCCGAGGGACGCGCCCGCGUGGUACUAGCACUUCAACCUUCGAAGCGGUCAGGUUCCUACCCCUCUUUCAUCGUUAAUCCUUUCUGCGCCCUGUCUGCUCCAAAAGAGCAAUUCAGUGCCUCUCCACCUUCCUGUCUUGAAACAGUCGGCCCACAGGGAGCCCCCGCAGCUGCUAUCCACGAAACUGCUACAGGUGGGCAGUCUGUGCGUUGUCUGGCUCACCGGCAGGAAGCGACCGUUUAUUUUCAAGAUGGUCUGUUAAAGGAGUCAGGAGCUAUUUAAUAAAGGCCCUGUUGUGAAAUUGGCCUGCAUGUGAUUCCAACUCCUCACCACUUCUUGCAGAUUAACAAGUUUGUUAAGUCAGGUUCAUGGAUCAAAUGACAGAAUGCAGCCAGGCUGGCAGUGCUUGGCUGUAAUACCACCGCCAUGGGAGGCUAAGUAGUGGGAUUGAACUCAGAAGCACACUACCACUGAAGCUACAUCCUAUCCCUUUUUAUUUUUUAUUUAUUUAUUUAUUUUUGGUACCAGGGAUCAAACUCGGGUCCCUGCGCUUGCAAGGCAAGCGACGGAACCACUGAGCUAAAUCCCUGGCCCUUUAUUUUUUGUUUUGAGAAAGGGUAUUGCAAAGUUACUCAGGCUGAUCCUGAAUUUGAGAUCCUCUUGCCUCAGCCUCGAGUAGCUGCGUAUCAACACACCUAGCUAGAUUUAUGUAAUUAAUAGCACAAAAUCAUAAAACAAAAAUGAAAUGAGGACUGCUAUAUGGCUCAGUGGUAGAGCACUUGCCUGACACCCUUGAGGCCCUGAGUUUGAUUCGGAACACCGCAUACACACACACACAACUUAUUUAGUGAUGUGGAAAGAUAGUCACCAUACACAGUGAAGUGACGUAUACAAGAUAAUCCAGUUUUCUAAGAAAAUUACAUUUUUGUAUGUAUGUAUGUGUAUCAAAAGAAUUCCUCUGUCUAUUGGAAUAAUGAAUUGUAUUAGUUCUCUGUUUUUAAAUGUUACAUAGUGAUAAUGUAUUGCUUUUGUAAUGGAAAACAAUAGUUACUUUUAAAUUGUCUUUGUUACUUAAGUGAAUAUUCUGUUCCCUUAG
Molecule: long non-coding RNA, 1645 nt
Organism: Heterocephalus glaber (naked mole-rat)
Lineage: Eukaryota; Metazoa; Chordata; Mammalia; Rodentia; Bathyergidae
Source: Ensembl